Molecule: RNA transcript, 2353 nt
Organism: Lucilia sericata (common green bottle fly)
Lineage: Eukaryota; Metazoa; Arthropoda; Insecta; Diptera; Calliphoridae
Exons: 2
Source: RefSeq, a predicted model, not a curated record
AAGAAGAAUCAUUAAAAGUAGCAGAAAUUUUUUAGACGCGAUUAAUUUUGAUAAGUUUUCAAAUUACAAUAUCAUCCCCCACAAACCUAUUAAAUAACAUAAAUUUUAUAGAAAAAUGAAAUUUACAAACUUAAUUACACUUAAAAUAUGAAAUUUUAUUAGAAAACUGUGAUUUAAGCACUUAAAAUUGCUAAUGAAAAAUUCUCUAACUCGUGCACGGUCUACUCUCUACUGCUACAUAAUUGAUUGAUUUUUUUUUGUAACCACACUGGUCGAGACACACAACUACACUCCGUAUAUUUUGUGCACUUGGAAAAUUUAUAUUGUACAUAUUGAGGUGAAGAUGAUAAUGAUGAUGAUGGUGAUCACGAUGAUGAGGUUGAUGAUAAAUAAGCAAUAACUAUUACUAAAUGUGUGUAGUGUGGUUGGAACACUCAAGUUUUGAAUGAACAAAAUUAAACCAAAAUAAAAUACCCAUAAAAAAUACAGAAAAAAAUAAAAAAUGAUAAAACAGUGAAUUGUGUAAGUUGAAAAACGAUGAUUUUUUUGUUUUAAGUACUAAUAAUAAUAAGUAAAGGAUUUAAAGAUAAGAAAUUGUUAUUAAUAUAAAGAAAACUACAUGACGGAAUCGGACACAAAAGAUUUCGACAGCGUUUUUGUAGAGAAUGCAGCAGAGGUGGCCGCCGACACUAAUAACAGCAGCAUUGCGGUCGAUUUGGAGGUCGUGAAUGUAGUGGCCGCUGGUAAUAACGGAAAAAACGACAUCAAAGUGUCUGAAGAGGGUGUAGCCAAAUUGACAUUCGGUUUUCUAGACGAUAUGCAAGGUGGCGAUAGUAGUUUAGAACCGGGAGAGGUAAAAACACCUCCGCCCGGUUCUAGUCCAGCCACGGUUAAGGAACAUACACCUUCACGUUUGGCCCAGGAAACGACCAGAGCCACCGGCUAAGCAAUUAUCCAAGGAUACAUUGGCUAAAGCUUUAAAAACUGUAUCACAAAUGGAAGCGGAAGCUUGUGAGGAAAAAGUACGUGCAAUUUUAGAAUUAGAUGCCAAGAGGCGUAAAGAGGAAGUAGAGAAACGUAAAUUGGAGGCUGAAAAGCGUAGGCAAUCAGGAGAAACAGAUUGGAAUUAGAGCGUAAGCGUAAGGCUAAAGAAGAGCGUAAGAAACUAAAGAAAUUAAAAAAGGGUAAGUGUUUUUUUAUUUAUAAAUUUAAAAUAAUUAUAAAAAAUUUUAUUAUUUUAAUCUUUAGCCCAAAGGCAGCAAUAAAGCCUUAAUAAGCGGGCGAUGAAGAUAAUACUGAAACAGCUCAAAGUAAAAAGCGUUAAAAUUAAAAAGGCCACUGAAUCGGAAGAAAGCGAAGGUUUAUGUUCUUCCGGCGCCGAAGAUGAUGAUGAGCAUGUUAGCGAAAAACAGGGCAAUAUAUUAAAUUCUGCCAUUGCCAUACCUUCUAUGCCAGCAACACGUUAUCCACCACAUUUACCGCCUCCUCAUAUUUUAACAGAAGCAUUUAUGGGUGGUUUCCGUCCUAUGAAUCCUUUCAUGCGUGCUCCCCGCCCUGACUUUUCGCAUGGACGUGGUGGUGGUUUAUACCAAGAGGUCGUGGUGGUAUGCGUGGUGGUCGUAUGCCCUUCCAAGGUUUUCGUCCACCCUUUUUUGCAGGCGUUGGUAAUAGUGGCGGUGCAGCUCCUAAAUUUAAUGUUCCUCAUGGUUCGCAUGGUCUUCAGCAACAACGUCAUCAUCAUCACCACCAUACACCGCCACCUAAUCGUGGCCAUUCACCUAUACUGCCACCAUCUGCGGAUUUACAAUGGACAAAAUGUAAACCAACCUUAUCGUAUGCAUUUAAUAUAAUAGAGAACACAAUAAAUUCCAUAACGCUUAUUCAGACGCAAAACCACACAGUUCAAAUAAAGAGCCAUCAGAAGAAGAUUGGAAUGAUGAGAGCCCAGAAGCUGAUAAUAAACAAGAUGAUGAUGAUCAUCAUAAACAUAAUCAACAUGAACAAAUACGUAAAAAAGACAAAAAGCACAAAUCACUCUCGAAAGAAAAGAAAAAGUCGAAAAAACAUAAAACAAAAGAUUCUAAAAAAUCAAAAAGGCAUCGGAAAACCCUGUCUACAUCAUCGCUAACAGGGAAACAUAAGAAAACAUCAAAUAAAUCGAGUAGAAGAAAAAUUGAAAAAAUACGUAAAUCCUAUGGAUCAUCGAAUAGAUCAACACCCACGCAGCAGCAGCAACACGAACAUUCUUCAGAGGAUACAGAGAUAACAAAUCAGAAUUUGCGGGAUGGGUUAGAGAAAGAGGAGCAUCCAGAGAAAGACCUGGGGGAAAAAAUGCCCAAUGAAGAGGAAAUAC